GAUGAACGCUGGCGGCGUGCCUAAUACAUGCAAGUCGAGCGAACGGACGAGAAGCUUGCUUCUCUGAUGUUAGCGGCGGACGGGUGAGUAACACGUGGAUAACCUACCUAUAAGACUGGGAUAACUUCGGGAAACCGGAGCUAAUACCGGAUAAUAUUUUGAACCGCAUGGUUCAAAAGUGAAAGACGGUCUUGCUGUCACUUAUAGAUGGAUCCGCGCUGCAUUAGCUAGUUGGUAAGGUAACGGCUUACCAAGGCAACGAUGCAUAGCCGACCUGAGAGGGGGAUCGGCCACACUGGAACUGAGACACGGUCCAGACUCCUACGGGAGGCAGCAGUAGGGAAUCUUCCGCAAUGGGCGAAAGCCUGACGGAGCAACGCCGCGUGAGUGAUGACGGUCUUCGGAUCGUAAAACUCUGUUAUUAGGGAAGAACAUAUGUGUAAGUAACUGUGCACAUCUUGGCGGUACCUAAUCAGAAAGCCACGGCUAACUACGUG
This 497-nucleotide ribosomal RNA is filed under the name uncultured bacterium. RNAcentral describes it as "partial 16S ribosomal RNA". It matches the Rfam family "Bacterial small subunit ribosomal RNA", at positions 28 to 507 of the family's 1533-position model. The record is from RNAcentral.